CCUACGGGAGGCAGCAGUGAGGAAUAUUGGUCAAUGGACGAGAGUCUGAACCAGCCAAGUAGCGUGAAGGAUGACUGCCCUAUGGUUUGUAAACUUCUUUUUUAUGGGAGUAAAAUGUUCCACGUGUGGGAUUUUGUACGUACCAUAUGAAUAAGGAUCGGCUAACUCCGUGCCAGCAGCCGCGGUAAUACGGAGGAUCCGAGCGUUAUCCGGAUUUAGUGGGUUUAAAGGGCGCGUAGGUGGAUCGGUAAGUCAGUUGUGAAAGUUUGCGGCUCAACCGUAAAAUUGCAGUUGAAACUGGCGGUCUUGAGUACAGGAGAGGUGGGCGGAAUUCGUGGUGUAGCGGUGAAAUGCUUAGAUAUCACGAAGAACUCCAGUGGCGAAGGCAGUUCACUGGACAGCAACUGACACUGAGGCUCGAAAGUGUGGGUAGCAAACAGGAUUAGAUACCCUAGUAGUC
RNAcentral lists this ribosomal RNA (460 nucleotides) under uncultured bacterium. RNAcentral describes it as "partial 16S ribosomal RNA". It matches the Rfam family "Bacterial small subunit ribosomal RNA", at positions 338 to 795 of the family's 1533-position model. The record is from RNAcentral.